GUAGGUACUUAACUUCUUUGAGGUUUGCUUUUUCAUUUGUAAAAUGCAGGUGAUAAUAAUACCUACCUCACAGAAUUAUUAUGGUGAUGAGUAAGAUCCUAGAUUUAAAGCACUUAGCAGAGUGGGAGAAGGGAGACCUUGAAUUGGCUCUUUUUAACCUACUCCCCUGUUGCAGCCAUUCAGGCUUGUGAGUCAGGGGGUGGGACCUGGGCGUGUACCAGGAGCCCACCCAAGCCAUGGUCCGCACAGACCUGUUGCCCUGAGGGGCCUUCGCAGUAGACACUAGAGCCAGGGAAACUGUGGGCAGAGCCAGGGCAGAGGUGGGCAAAGGAAAAGGAGGAGAGCUUCUUUCUAAACGAUUGGGAGGGACGCAGAGAAGGGAAAGUUUCCUCCUUUAGAACCAAAUUGGAGGAAGAAGAGAAUCCAGCAACACUGAAGAUGGAAGUUCCACAGGAGCCUUCUGCCCUCUGAGUUCUUUUAAACCAAGAAAUAUCAUAGCAAAGAAGGCCCACACCAACACACAACAGUUCUGGAGGCUGGAAAGUCCAGGAUCAAGGCGUCAGCAGGUUCAGUGUUGGCCCUAAGCUGACAUCUGCUGCCAAUCCUCUGCUUUUUGCUGAGGAAGACUGGCCCUGAGGAACAUCCGUCCCCAUCUUUCUCUACUUUAUAUGUGGGACACCUGCCAUAGCAUGGCUUCAUAAGUGGUGGGUAGGUUCACACCCAGGAUGUGAACCGGCAAACUCUGGGUGGAGAAAGUGGAACGUGCAAACUCAACCGCUGUGCCACGGGGCUGGCCCCUGAAUAGAAAUUUUUUUUAAAGUAUUAUUUCAAUUGUUGCUGGUAGAUAAAAAUGUUAUGGACUUGAGUAUGUUAAUCUUAUGCCCAGCAAAUGUGCUGAGCUCUCUCAUUCAUUAUAAUACUGUAUUUGUAAAUUCUCUUGGAUUUUCUGGAUAAAUAAUCAUAUUGUUUAUGAAAAAUACGAAUUUUAUUUCUUCCUUUCCAAACUUUAUGUCAUUUAUUUCCUU
Molecule: long non-coding RNA, 1025 nt
Filed under: Equus caballus (horse)
Lineage: Eukaryota; Metazoa; Chordata; Mammalia; Perissodactyla; Equidae
Description: lncRNA (ENSECAG00000058418.1)
Source: RNAcentral